This 396-nucleotide ribosomal RNA is filed under the name Adriamonas peritocrescens. Its description in RNAcentral is "partial small subunit ribosomal RNA". It matches the Rfam family "Eukaryotic small subunit ribosomal RNA", at positions 30 to 432 of the family's 1831-position model. Lineage: Eukaryota; Bigyra; Bicosoecida; Siluaniidae. The record is from RNAcentral.
GCUUGUCUCAAAGAUUAAGCCAUGCAUGUCUAAGUAUAAACAAAUCUAUACUGUGAAACUGCGAAUGGCUCAUUAUAUCAGUUAUAGUUUAUUUGAUAGUCCCCACUACUUGGAUAACCGUAGUAAUUCUAGAGCUAAUACAUGCGUCAAGUCCUGACUGCGCGAGCGGAAAGGAUGUGUUUAUUAGAUACAACCAACCCUUCGGGUCCCUGGUGAAUCAUAAUAAUUGAGCGAACCGCAUGCUUCGGCGGCGGUGGUUCAUUCAAGUUUCUGCCCUAUCAGCUUUCGAUGGUAGGGUAUUGGCCUACCAUGGCGUUAACGGGUAACGGAGAAUUAGGGUUCGAUUCCGGAGAGGGAGCCUGAGAGAUGGCUACCACAUCCAAGGAAGGCAGCAGG